Molecule: long non-coding RNA, 867 nt
Organism: Papaver somniferum (opium poppy)
Lineage: Eukaryota; Viridiplantae; Streptophyta; Magnoliopsida; Ranunculales; Papaveraceae
Exons: 2
Source: RefSeq, a predicted model, not a curated record
CACUCAGCCUGAUUUUCUUGAAGUAUGAAGGGACAGGAUACAAACAAACAUAGAGGCAAACAGACCCGCAGAGACUAACGUUGGAAUAUAAAAUUUAUUUUACUAAAAUUGUUAGAGAAGGAAUUCCAAGGUUGAGGAUAAAUCCGUUGCAUGUGGUUAGAACAACUUAGGGUUCUGUACAAAUGGAGAAAUAAUUUUUCUCUUUUGAUACGAUAUGAAGAAACUAAUCUUUUUGUCUAUUGCGAAGGCAGAGAUAUUGUUAAUUUUGGGUUUGAUGGCAAAAGAUAUUACUAGUUACUAACAGCAGAGAAGAUCCGUAGCCAUAGGGAUUGAUCGGAGAAUUGGUUUAAAAAGAAGAAGAGCAAGUUGUAUCACUGAGUUGGCAACCGAGCUGAAAAAAUGGGGGGCAGGCAAGUUUGGGUGAAAAUAAGUAUGGGUUCAUGGAUUAGGUACUUGUAGACCGACCCGUUACUCCGUCUUCUUCACCCGCGACCAACCCGAAAUCUCUGUUAGUUUACUCUGUUUGUUUGUUUUUUUGUGAAAUUCUUCACCCGAGUUCUGCAACUGGAAUUCUACCUUCGGGUUUUUUUACUAAUUCAAUGGAUAUAAUCUGAUUAUUUUUCAAGCCACAAAUCGAUAGGUUGUAGUGUGAAAUCUUCAGUUAGAUGAAAUUUAUGAAAUCAGUGGAUGUUUUUUUUUUCGGAUUAUUUGAAGAAGGAAUGAUCAAUUAUGAUCGAUUUAGUGGAGAUUGUUGAGAAGUUUGAACAUGUAAUUUGUUUGUUGGACUGUAUUCGAUCAAAAUUUCUGAUCAAUCUGUUUGAUUAUCUCAAAUUUAAUCUUAAUUUGUGAAUCAAAAAUUCAAUUUCA